AUUGAACGCUGGCGGCAUGCCUUACACAUGCAAGUCGAACGGCAGCACGGGUGCUUGCACCUGGUGGCGAGUGGCGAACGGGUGAGUAAUACAUCGGAACAUGUCCUGUAGUGGGGGAUAGCCCGGCGAAAGCCGGAUUAAUACCGCAUACGAUCCACGGAUGAAAGCGGGGGACCUUCGGGCCUCGCGCUAUAGGGUUGGCCGAUGGCUGAUUAGCUAGUUGGUGGGGUAAAGGCCUACCAAGGCGACGAUCAGUAGCUGGUCUGAGAGGACGACCAGCCACACUGGGACUGAGACACGGCCCAGACUCCUACGGGAGGCAGCAGUGGGGAAUUUUGGACAAUGGGCGAAAGCCUGAUCCAGCAAUGCCGCGUGUGUGAAGGAGGACUUCGGGUUGUAAAGCACUUUUGUCCGGAAAGAAAUCCUUGACUCUAAUACAGUCGGGGGAUGACGGUACCGGAAGAAUAAGCACCGGCUAACUACGU
RNAcentral lists this ribosomal RNA (485 nucleotides) under uncultured bacterium. RNAcentral's name for it is "partial 16S ribosomal RNA". It matches the Rfam family "Bacterial small subunit ribosomal RNA", at positions 30 to 506 of the family's 1533-position model. The record is from RNAcentral.